UAAUUUGUGAAGCAUUUUGUUGAGACUUGGUAAGGCACUGAGAUGAUGGCAGGAACAGGAUGGUUUUCUCUCCAACUUUUAUUGAGUUUUUCAUUAUGCCAGAGGUAUCCAGAAAAUCCCCGCUAAUUGCACAGAAAAUAAAAGACUACAAGGAAGGUUGUGAUUGGAGGUUGCGUGUAUGUCGGCGUAAUUCAUCAUCAACGACACUUCGAGGUUCCUGUGCUUCAUCGGGGAAGGCGUGCGAGAAGAGGACCACCGUGUGGCACAUGACUUUCUAUUAUAUUCAAUUGAGUUUGUAUUGGUACUUUUUAAAUGUAUAGUUUGGCAUUAACGUUCUAAACAUGAUUUUCAAUUGACCAAUGUUACAAAAGAUCAUAAUGGACUAUUUAAUUAAGUGUAUUCCUCUUUUCUUUAAGAAAAAAAAGUGUGAUGCUCGUAGACCUGAUCUACGGGUACAAUUUAAAACAA
Long non-coding RNA from Cucumis sativus (cucumber), 468 nucleotides. RefSeq lists it as uncharacterized. The transcript has 2 exons. Lineage: Eukaryota; Viridiplantae; Streptophyta; Magnoliopsida; Cucurbitales; Cucurbitaceae. The record is from RefSeq and is a predicted model, not a curated record.